GAAAUGCGAUAAGUAAUGUGAAUUGCAGAAUUCAGUGAAUCAUCGAAUCUUUGAACGCACAUUGCGCCCCCUGGUAUUCCGGGGGGCAUGCCUGUUCGAGCGUCAUUUCACCACUCAAGCCUCGCUUGGUAUUGGGCAACGCGGUCCGCCGCGUGCCUCAAAUCGACCGGCUGGGUCUUCUGUCCCCUAAGCGUUGUGGAAACUAUUCGCUAAAGGGUGUUCGGGAGGCUACGCCGUAAAACAACCCCAUUUCUAAGGUUGACCUCGGAUCGGGUAGGGAUACCCGCUGAACUUAAGC
RNAcentral lists this unclassified non-coding RNA (298 nucleotides) under plant metagenome. RNAcentral's name for it is "partial contains 5.8S ribosomal RNA, internal transcribed spacer 2, and large subunit ribosomal RNA". The stretch from base 1 to 105 matches the Rfam family "5.8S ribosomal RNA", at positions 50 to 154 of the family's 154-position model. The record is from RNAcentral.